Molecule: ribosomal RNA, 397 nt
Filed under: uncultured bacterium
Lineage: Bacteria
Description: bacterial SSU rRNA
Rfam family: Bacterial small subunit ribosomal RNA
Source: RNAcentral
AUUGAACGCUGGCGGCAUGCCUUACACAUGCAAGUCGAACGGCAGCACGGGAGCAAUCCUGGUGGCGAGUGGCGAACGGGUGAGUAAUAUGUCGGAACGUGCCCGGUCGUGGGGAUAACGUAGCGAAAGCUACGCUAAUACCGCAUACGAUCUACGGAUGAAAGCGGGGGAUCGCAAGACCUCGCGCGAUUGGAGCGGCCGAUAUCAGAUUAGGUAGUUGGUGAGGUAAAGGCUCACCAAGCCGACGAUCUGUAGCUGGUCUGAGAGGACGACCAGCCACACUGGGACUGAGACACGGCCCAGACUCCUACGGGAGGCAGCAGUGGGGAAUUUUGGGACAAUGGGCGCAAGCCUGAUCCAGCAAUGCCGCGUGCAGGAUGAAGGCCUCGGUUGUAAC